Molecule: ribosomal RNA, 573 nt
Filed under: Triticum aestivum (bread wheat)
Lineage: Eukaryota; Viridiplantae; Streptophyta; Magnoliopsida; Poales; Poaceae
Description: partial small subunit ribosomal RNA
Source: RNAcentral
AUGCAAGAUCAGGUCGGCCUGGACCUGGACGGCUUCCCGCUCGACCACGAGUUUCCGGAGGACUAGAACCUCGAGGAAGAGGAUGAGUUGGACAUCGACGAGCCUUUGUUCGAGGAUGAGCUCGCCAACCAAGCUGCCGGGGUGAAGCUGAAGCGCAAGAGAAAACGGACGAAGGCAUACACGGCGACCGAGGACAAGCUCCUUUGUGAGUGUUGGAGGAACAUUGUGCAAGACCCCAAGGUCGACGCCGAACAAAAGGCAUCAACCUUUUGGAUUCGUGUCCACCGUGAGUUCCAUGAACACAAGAAGUUUGCGCCGUACCAAACGCAUAGCGCGCGCAGAUGGGUGUCCAUUUCGAAGCGAUGGAGGGUGAUCCAACAAGAGUGCAACAAGUUUUGUGCCACUAUCGAGAGUAUCAAGGCACGCCCCGUGAGCGGCAUCAGCAUGCAAGACAUGGUAUGCAUGCGUCCCUCUUUGUUUUCAUGUCCAUUUGCAUAUCUACUUGCCCAUAUGCUUGCAUGCUAUUCAUUUGUAGGCAUUCCAAGCUUUGGAGGCAUUUGGGGUCCAACGUGA